CCUACGGGAGGCAGCAGUGAGGAAUAUUGGACAAUGGGCGCAAGCCUGAUCCAGCCAUGCCGCGUGCAGGAUGACGGUCCUAUGGAUUGUAAACUGCUUUUAUACGAGAAGAAACACUACUUCGUGAAGUAGCUUGACGGUAUCGUAAGAAUAAGGAUCGGCUAACUCCGUGCCAGCAGCCGCGGUAAUACGGAGGAUCCAAGCGUUAUCCGGAAUCAUUGGGUUUAAAGGGUCCGUAGGCGGUUUAAUAAGUCAGUGGUGAAAGCCCAUCGCUCAACGGUGGAACGGCCAUUGAUACUGUUAGACUUGAAUUAUUAGGAAGUAACUAGAAUAUGUAGUGUAGCGGUGAAAUGCUUAGAGAUUACAUGGAAUACCAAUUGCGAAGGCAGGUUACUACUAAUAUAUUGACGCUGAUGGACGAAAGCGUGGGUAGCGAACAGGAUUAGAUACCCUGGUAGUCCACGCCGUAAACGAUGGAUACUAGCUGUUGGAAGCAAUUUCAGUGGCUAAGCGAAAGUGAUAAGUAUCCCACCUGGGGAGUACGUUCGCAAGAUGAAACUCAAAUGAAUUGACGG
Molecule: ribosomal RNA, 575 nt
Filed under: uncultured bacterium
Lineage: Bacteria
Description: bacterial SSU rRNA
Rfam family: Bacterial small subunit ribosomal RNA
Source: RNAcentral